Aedes aegypti (yellow fever mosquito) is the source of this 166-nucleotide non-coding RNA. The record is from Rfam. Lineage: Eukaryota; Metazoa; Arthropoda; Insecta; Diptera; Culicidae.
GCCGCUAGACACGUCCUUUUGAUGAUGGCAACACAAGUACUGACAACCCAAGUGAAUGGGAAUUGCCCCGUUCUUCCAGGUCAUCGUUGGCGGAAUGGUGUUCUUCUAUGGGUUCAUUCAAAUAUUAACGUAAAAAUUGUCAAUUUUAGACCCCCAGUAUCCCCAG